Molecule: long non-coding RNA, 425 nt
Organism: Octopus sinensis (East Asian common octopus)
Lineage: Eukaryota; Metazoa; Mollusca; Cephalopoda; Octopoda; Octopodidae
Exons: 3
Source: RefSeq, a predicted model, not a curated record
GCCAUCAAGGACUCCCUCCGUGGAUGUCUUCAGUGCUGAGAAUCUUCAUGGAUAAAAAACUGGAUUCAAUUUUCUCAGUUCAGGCUAAUUCUCCACUUUUCAACACCGAGGAAUUUGCUUCUUCACUCUCGAUAAAGCCUUCUGACUCGCUUGGUACAACUCCAGUGAAGAAAUCGAGGAAUUCCACACCUGCAAAAAGCCCUAGGGUAAAAAAAGAAGUCAUUCCAAAAAAAUCAGUAAAUUUUGAUUCUCCUAGCAAAAGUCAGGAUCUUUCAGUGACAAAAACAGAGACUUUUCAUUAUUGCACUGUGUGUGACCAUCGCACGAAGUCAAAGUCGGCUCUUGCAAGGCAUAUUCGAACACAUACUGGGGAAAAGCCAUAUCCCUGCCGAUUUAUGUGUGGCCAGGCUUUUUCAAGGUCAGAU